Picea glauca (white spruce) is the source of this 121-nucleotide non-coding RNA. The record is from Rfam. NCBI's taxonomy places the organism in Eukaryota, Viridiplantae, Streptophyta, Pinopsida, Pinales, Pinaceae.
ACAUGCAUGCAACAUAACAUUAAUGUAGUGGAUACCAUUAGAACUUUGCAGUUAAGCGCACUUAGACUAGAGUAGUAUUGGGAUGGGUGACCUCCCAGGAAGUCCUAGUGUUUUACAUGCC